GCUCGUAGUUGAAUCUCAGUUCCAGACAGGCGGUCCGCUCCGGUGGUUACUGCCUGGCCUGAACAUCCUGACGGUUUUCCUUCUGUGCUCUUGACUGAGUGUCGUAGGUGCCCGUCACGUUUACUUUGAAAAAAUUGGAGUGCUCAAAGCAGGCGUUCCGCCUGAAUAAUGGUGCAUGGAAUAAUGAAAGAGGACUUCGAGUUCUAUUGUGUUGGUUUUCGGAACACGAGGUAAUGAUUAAAAGGGACAGACGGGGGCAUUCGUAUUGCGACGCUAGAGGUGAAAUUCUUGGACCGUCGCAAGACGAACUACAGCGAAAGCAUUUGCCAAGAAUGUUUUCAUUAAUCAAGAACGAAAGUUAGAGGUUCGAAGGCGAUCAGAUACCGCCCUAGUUCUAACCAUAAACGAUGCCAACCAGCGAUCCGCCUGAGUUACUCAAUUGACUCGGCGGGCAGCUUCCGGGAAACCAAAGUUUGUGGGUUCCGGGGGAAGUAUGGUUGCAAAGCUGAAACUUAAAGGAAUUGACGGAAGGGCACCACCAGGAGUGGAGCCUGCGGCUUAAUUUGACUCAACACGGGAAAACUUACCCGGCCCGGACACCGGAAGGAUUGACAGAUUAAGAGCUCUUUCUUGAUUCGGUGGGUGGUGGUGCAUGGCCGUUCUUAGUUGGUGGAGCGAUUUGUCUGGUUAAUUCCGAUAACGAACGAGACUCUAGCCUACUAAAUAGGCGACCGAUCACUUGUGUCGGUCUUCCUUCUUAGAGGGACAAGCGGCGUUUAGCCGCACGAGACAGAGCAAUAACAGGUCUGUGAUGCCCUUAGAUGUCCGGGGCCGCACGCGCGCUACACUGAAGGAAUCAGCGUGUGUUUACCCCUGUCCGGCAGGACUGGGUAACCCGAUGAACCUCCUUCGUGAUAGGGAUAGGAGCUUGUAAUUGUUCUCCUUGAACGAGGAAUUCCCAGUAAGCGCGAGUCAUAAGCUCGUGUUGAUUACGUCCCUGCCCUUUGUACACACCGCCCGUCGCUACUACCGAUUGAAUGAUUUAGUGAGGUCUUCGGACUGGUGCUCGGAGCGGCUCUCGGGUCGCACCGCCGUACCGGAAAGAUGACCAAACUUGAUCAUUUAGAGGAAGUAAAAGUCGUAACAAGGUUUCC
Molecule: ribosomal RNA, 1154 nt
Filed under: Pantopsalis phocator
Lineage: Eukaryota; Metazoa; Arthropoda; Arachnida; Opiliones; Neopilionidae
Also listed under: 1 other name
Description: SSU rRNA
Rfam family: Eukaryotic small subunit ribosomal RNA
Source: RNAcentral